UGUGUUUCCUGUAACAAAUCGUUCAAGAAACUCUGGUCCCUUCAUGAACAUAUCAAGAUCGUCCAUGGAUAUGCAGAAAAGAAAUUUUCCUGUGAAAUUUGUGAGAAGAAAUUCUAUACCAUGGCUCAUGUGCGGAAACACAUGGUUGCACACACAAAAGACAUGCCAUUUACAUGCGAAACCUGUGGAAAAUCAUUCAAACGCAGUAUGUCACUCAAGGUGCACUCCUUGCAGCAUUCUGGAGAGAAGCCCUUUAGAUGCGAGAACUGUGACGAAAGGUUUCAGUACAAGUACCAGCUACGCUCCCACAUGAGCAUUCAUAUUGGGCACAAACAGUUCAUGUGCCAGUGGUGUGGCAAGGAUUUCAACAUGAAGCAGUACUUCGACGAACACAUGAAAACACACACUG
RNAcentral lists this non-coding RNA (409 nucleotides) under Homo sapiens (human). Lineage: Eukaryota; Metazoa; Chordata; Mammalia; Primates; Hominidae. The record is from RNAcentral.